RNAcentral lists this long non-coding RNA (753 nucleotides) under Daphnia magna. RNAcentral describes it as "uncharacterized LOC123474762, transcript variant X2". Lineage: Eukaryota; Metazoa; Arthropoda; Branchiopoda; Diplostraca; Daphniidae. The record is from RNAcentral.
AAACUUUUGUCGAAAAAUAAAAUGGGAUUUUUCAAAUAACCUUCGAAAAUUUCCUCUGGCAACAUCGUGAUUCUGCAUUUGGAAGAACUCAGCUGCUCCAACAACUUCGAUAGUUCUUUAGGAGAGAAAUGUGGUACGAAGCAUUACCUAGUUUGUUUUUGACCGGUUUCUUUGUAUGCCUCCCAUAUGGCCUUGUUCCGGUUAUUCACAAAAUCUUCCAAAAUGGGAAUGCUUCAAAAUAAAACCCAUGAUAGGUUUUUCUAUAGAAGGGAUACUCGUUUGACUGGUAACCCUUAUGUGCUGAAGGGUUUGGAAUCUAUCCCUGAUUAGACAAACAGAUUCAGGUCUCAGUGUUACCAUAGAGGAUUUGAUGAAAUAAAUGUAUUAGUGGGAAAGAAGAAUCAAUUUGUCAUUAAUGAUUGUAUGUUGAACCUGGUUAUCUACCAAAAGCUUUGAAUCAGUCUUACCUAUUUCUCCUCUGAGCUAACUUGUUUGGUUUCUCAGAUGAUAUGAAACUUUAUUACUUCAAGUUCCCUUUUGGAUUGUGUACAUGGUAAAUAUCAAUUCAAAGAAAUUGCUUUGAAUUGAUAAGUUCCACAUCAUGAAAAUCAUCAGAAUGGAGCAAACAGUGCUAAUUUGAUCUUUUAUUUGAUUUGUGUGUCGAUGAGAUUUGUGGCAGCACUUUUGUCAGUAUCAUUUGAACACAGAACAUUUUAUGCCCUGAAUUUACAUAGAAACAGAAGUGGAAACAGA